AUUGAACGCUGGCGGAAUGCUUUACACAUGCAAGUCGAACGGCAGCACGGACUUCGGUCUGGUGGCGAGUGGCGAACGGGUGAGUAACAUAUCGGAACGUAUCCAAUAAUGGGGGAUAACGAGUCGAAAGAUUCGCUAAUACCGCAUACGCCCUACGGGGGAAAGCUGGGGACCUUCGGGCCUGGCGUUAAUGGAGGGGCCGAUAUCUGAUUAGCUAGUUGGUGAGGUAAAGGCACACCAAGGCGACGAUCAGUAGCUGGUCUGAGAGGACGACCAGCCACACUGGAACUGAGACACGGUCCAGAAUCCUACGGGAGGCAGCAGUGGGGAAUUUUGGACAAUGGGCGCAAGCCUGAUCCAGCCAUUCCGCGUGAGUGAAGAAGGCCUUCGGGUUGUAAAGCUCUUUCGCAAGGGAAGAAAACUUAGCCACUAACAUUGGUUGAGGUUGACGGUACCUUGAUAAGAAGCACCGGCUAACUACGUGCCAGCCGCCGCGGUAA
RNAcentral lists this ribosomal RNA (500 nucleotides) under uncultured bacterium. RNAcentral describes it as "partial 16S ribosomal RNA". It matches the Rfam family "Bacterial small subunit ribosomal RNA", at positions 30 to 523 of the family's 1533-position model. The record is from RNAcentral.